RNAcentral lists this ribosomal RNA (253 nucleotides) under uncultured bacterium. RNAcentral describes it as "partial 16S ribosomal RNA". It matches the Rfam family "Bacterial small subunit ribosomal RNA", at positions 524 to 776 of the family's 1533-position model. The record is from RNAcentral.
UACGAAGGGUGCAAGCGUUGUUCGGAAUCAUUGGGCGUAAAGCGAGUGUAGGCGGUUAAUUAAGUCAGUUGUGAAAUCCCUUGGCUCAACCAAGGAAGUGCAUCUGAAACUAAUUAACUAGAAGAUGGUAGAGGAAGGUGGAAUUCCAAGUGUAGAGGUGAAAUUCGUAGAUAUUUGGAGGAAUACCUGAGGCGAAGGCGGCCUUCUGGGCCAUUCUUGACGCUGAGACUCGAAAGCGUGGGUAGCAAACAGG